Melipona quadrifasciata is the source of this 135-nucleotide small nucleolar RNA. It matches the Rfam family "Small nucleolar RNA snoR639/H1". Rfam says of the family: snoR639 or snoH1 belongs to the H/ACA class of snoRNAs which are thought to guide the sites of modification of uridines to pseudouridines. snoH1 is found in an intron of the mfl gene in Drosophila. The record is from Rfam. NCBI's taxonomy places the organism in Eukaryota, Metazoa, Arthropoda, Insecta, Hymenoptera, Apidae.
ACCCCACACAAUUAAGCCGACAAUUUCAAUGUAUUCCAAUUGGAACUGUGUGCUCGUUGUGGGAACAGCAAAGUCUGCUAAUGGUGUAUGAUUGUAUUUGUUAUUACGGUAUAAUCAAAGAAUUGAUGCAGGACA